Molecule: non-coding RNA, 3132 nt
Organism: Equus caballus (horse)
Lineage: Eukaryota; Metazoa; Chordata; Mammalia; Perissodactyla; Equidae
Source: RefSeq, a predicted model, not a curated record
UUAUCCAGUUUUCAGUUCUCUCUCAGGGGUAAUUGUUCCAAGAGUAGUUGUAAAUUUGUUGUGUCUGUGGGAGGGGAAGUUCAGAGCACCUACGCCGCCAUCUUGACACCAUCCUCUGGGCUGGCACUCCUGCUCUCUCUUCCUUAGACAACUCACCCUGGGGGAAGCCAGCUGCCACGUCAUGAGGACACUCAGGCAACUUAUGGAGACGCCCAUGUGGCAAAGAAUGGAAGUGUCCUGCAACAGCCAGUGAGGAACCAGGGCCUGCCAGUAAACAGCUCGAGAAGAACAGUGGUCACCCCUGUCCAAGACACAUCCUUCUCCCUCGUCCUCAUAUUAGGCAGGACUCUCAGUUUCAAGUGGCACAAAAAUUUAGCACGAACUGGCUGAGGACUGUGUUAGACGCGGGGACUCACACAAUGUCAUUGGGACUCAGUCCCUCUCCAUUUCUCGGCUCUGUUAUCGUCCGUGUUGACUUCAUUCCCAGGCAGGUCCUCCUUAUGUGGUAGCAAAGACAGCCCCCCUUAGCUCCAGGCUGCCAUUCUCAGCAGCGUGGCAAUCCCAGAAGACAGGAUUCCAGCGGAAGCCCCAGGGCCAGCGCUCAUUGGACAGAACCGUGUCACGUGUUCUUUCACGACCCCGCCGCUGUGGCCAGGCGUUAGAACAAGCUGAUUGGCCAGGCCUGAGUCACAUGACUACUUCCAAAGUUGGGGGAGGCUGCGGCCCAGGGAGUGGAGAAGGACAGUUGCCCAAAGGACAGUUGCACUUGGGGAAGGAGACGGUGAAAGCGACAGAUCUCUACCUGACUUUCAGCGUCUCUACUGCUCCCUCCUCUGCCACCCGUAUACAGUGACGAAUCCCCAGAGCUCUCCUGUUCUCAGCCCAGACUCACCUUUGUUUCCACCCAGACGUCCUGCAGAACCUCCAGACCCGUGUGUCCAGAAUCACAUCCGUUAGCUUCCCUCCUCCUGGCCACCAUCGUCCUCUGUUCGUUUCCUAUUCCUGCUGUGUAGAUCGCCACAGACGCGCUGGACUACAACGGCACGAAUGUAUCAUCGUACAGUCAUGGAGGGCGGAAGUCCAAAACGAGUCUUCUGGGGCUAAAUUCCAUGUGUUGGCCUGGCUGGUUCCUUCCAGAAGCUCUGGGGGAGAAUCUGCCCCUUGCCUUCUUCUUCUGGACGCUGUUUGCAUUCCUUGGCUUCUGGCCCCACAGCCUUUCCUCCCUGUGCUGUCACUGUCACGUCACCUUCUCCAGACUCCGCUCUCCUGCCUCCCUCUUAUAAGGCCCCUUGUGGUUGCAUUUAGGGCCCACCUCUCCAUCUUAAGGUCAUUAACUGGAUCACCUCUGCAGAAGGGAGUCCCUUUGCUGCGUAAGGUGAUCUGCACAGGGUCAGAGGAUUACGACGGGGACAUCUUUGAGGGCCCACCACCCCACCCAGACACGUGACGGCCCCACUCUAGCCACCUGGGAAUCCCCAGGCACUCUCGGGGUCCACCAGGCGCUUCCUCCUCCCUCUUCCUUUGCUCCUGCAGUUUCCUCGGCUGAAUGACCCCCAUCCCAGCCCUUCCCACCUGCCAGUCUCCGUACUUGAACUUCAAGGCUUAGCUCAAAUUGCACUUCUCUUUUGUAGCUUUCUUCCACUCCUACGACUGGUAUACUGAGGUACACACUUUCUCGUGUCCCAGAGCAUAGUGUUUUAUGACAGUGAACCACAGUAGCCAGUUCACCUUUCCAACCACUCGUUUGAUCGUGACAUCUUUAGGAGCAGAGACUUUUGCUUGAUCACCUCUAUUGCUCCAGCUCCUAACUCAUAGCUCAUGGCAUUUAAUAAGGUGCAAAAAAUAUUUACGGAAUCCCACAGCAGGUAAUGGAAUCCAUCACGAUUUUUUAAAGUCCCAGCUCAUGGUGGGCUGCUUUUAUGGUGGAUGUCAGCUGUUUCGCCUGCCUGCCCAGCAUUCCUGACCCCCCUGUUUGAUACCCACUCCCCGCCGUCCUCUGGGGACCCCCCACUCCCCCUUAUGAGGGUCGUGAUCAUAUGGCCGUAUUGGCCACAGCGCCACACGUGGGUCUGGUCAGUCAGAGCCAGAGUGACUGUCCCAGAUGGAGGCAUGUGGCCCAGUCUGGGCUAAAGAGAGUGAAGACCUGGGAUUUUACAUGGAGGUGGGAGAGAGAAGCGGCUGGUGAGCUGGUGUGAGGAGCGCCUGGAGCUGUGGGGGGCCCUGCCGCGCCCUGUCACCCUCCACCUGGAAGAAGCUUGCCUGCAGACAAGACAGUGAAGUCAACCAGAGGGAAAACCGAACUCGGGUGGUACGUGAGAUAGGCAGAUGUGGGACAGUGGUCCCCAGGCAGCCUCCGCGCCUGGACUUCCCUUGGCGACAGCUAAGCAGUUCCCUUUCUUCCUGAUAUCAGUUGGAGUUGGAUUCUGACACUCGUGCCUGAGCGGAUCGUGACCGAUACAGGUUUGAACUCUGGGGUAAAAUCAUCUCCAGAAUCCUCCAGCAGACUUCCCUCUUCUUCUCACUGGCCAAAAUCAAGUCACAUGACCAUCCCUGAUCCAUCUCUUGCACAGGGGAACAGGAUUGCUAUGAUUGGCUGUGACCAGUCAUGAGUCAUCUCUUUGCUCAGAGAGCAGCACAACUGACCGGAUACUCACCCUCUUUGAGUUUCUGGGGGUGGUGAGGCCCAUCUCCAGUCUUGGGAGCAGUCUGUGUGGAGGGCCUUCUCUGGGCCAGGCCUUGUGCAGAUGAAGGAAAACAGUCCCCACCUUCAAAUGCACGCAGGAGGCAGGAAGGAGCCACUACACGGUCUGCAGACAGGGUCUCUACAGAGGCGAUCAACUUAAAUGAGGUCAUGAGGGUGGUUCCUAAACCAAUGUGACUGGCAUCCUUCUACAAAGGGAAAAGUUGGACACAGACACCUGUGCACGGGGAGAACCGCCAUCUGCAGUUGAAGGUAGAGAUCCGGGAUGCCUUUAGAGCCCUGGAAUGCCCGAGACGGCCAGUGCUCACCAGAAGAGGAGAGGGGCCUGGAACAAUCCUUCUCCACAGCCCUCGGAAGGAGCCACCUGCAGACAUCUGAUCUCAGACUUGUGGCUUCCAGACCGUGAGACAAUAAAUCUCUGUUGUCUCCGC